This 447-nucleotide ribosomal RNA is filed under the name uncultured bacterium. RNAcentral's name for it is "bacterial SSU rRNA". It matches the Rfam family "Bacterial small subunit ribosomal RNA", at positions 328 to 792 of the family's 1533-position model. The record is from RNAcentral.
GCUCCAGACUCCUACGGGAGGCAGCAGUGGGGAAUAUUGCACAAUGGGGGAAACCCUGAUGCAGCGACGCCGCGUGAGCGAUGAAGUAUUUCGGUAUGUAAAGCUCUAUCAGCAGGGAAGAAAAUGACGGUACCUGACUAAGAAGCCCCGGCUAACUACGUGCCAGCAGCCGCGGUAAUACGUAGGGGGCAAGCGUUAUCCGGAUUUACUGGGUGUAAAGGGAGCGUAGACGGCAUGGCAAGUCAGAUGUGAAAGCCCGGGGCUCAACCCCGGGACUGCAUUUGAAACUGUCAGGCUGGAGUGCAGGAGAGGUAAGUGGAAUUCCUAGUGUAGCGGUGAAAUGCGUAGAUAUCAGGAGGAACACCGGCGGCGAAGGCGGCCUGCUGGACCGCGACUGACGUUGAGGCUCGAAAGCGUGGGGAGCGAACAGGAUUAGAUACCCGAGUA